CAUCAAUAAACUGAAAAGCUGCCUUUUGAACAUAGAAGACAACCCUUAUCUUUUCCUGAUAAUGAUAUAAAGAAAAAGUGAGCUCAUAGAAGAACUACAACAA
Molecule: small RNA, 103 nt
Filed under: Arabidopsis thaliana (thale cress)
Lineage: Eukaryota; Viridiplantae; Streptophyta; Magnoliopsida; Brassicales; Brassicaceae
Description: ATSL184400
Source: RNAcentral